GACGAACGCUGGCGGCGUGCCUAAUACAUGCAAGUAGAACGCUGAAGGGAGGAGCUUGCUCUUCUUGGAUGAGUUGCGAACGGGUGAGUAACGCGUAGGUAACCUGCCUUGUAGCGGGGGAUAACUAUUGGAAACGAUAGCUAAUACCGCAUAACAAUGGAUGACCCAUGUCAUUUAUUUGAAAGGGGCAAAUGCUCCACUACAAGAUGGACCUGCGUUGUAUUAGCUAGUAGGUGAGGUAACGGCUCACCUAGGCGACGAUACAUAGCCGACCUGAGAGGGUGAUCGGCCACACUGGGACUGAGACACGGCCCAGACUCCUACGGGAGGCAGCAGUAGGGAAUCUUCGGCAAUGGGGGCAACCCUGACCGAGCAACGCCGCGUGAGUGAAGAAGGUUUUCGGAUCGUAAAGCUCUGUUGUAAGUCAAGAACGAGUGUGAGAGUGGAAAGUUCACACUGGACG
RNAcentral lists this ribosomal RNA (463 nucleotides) under Streptococcus salivarius. RNAcentral describes it as "bacterial SSU rRNA". It matches the Rfam family "Bacterial small subunit ribosomal RNA", at positions 28 to 474 of the family's 1533-position model. Lineage: Bacteria; Bacillati; Bacillota; Bacilli; Lactobacillales; Streptococcaceae. The record is from RNAcentral.